Molecule: ribosomal RNA, 329 nt
Filed under: uncultured eukaryote
Lineage: Eukaryota
Description: partial 18S ribosomal RNA
Rfam family: Eukaryotic small subunit ribosomal RNA
Source: RNAcentral
CCCUUAGAUGUUCUGGGCCCCACGCGCGCUACACUGAUGCAUUCAACGAGUCUAAAACCUGCUCUGAUAGGGGUGGGUAAUCUUUUGAAUGUGCAUCGUGAUUGGGAUAGAUGAUUGCAAUUUUUCAUCUUCAACGAGGAAUGCCUAGUAAACGCAAGUCAUCAGCUUGCAUUGAUUACGUCCCUGCCCUUUGUACACACCGCCCGUCGCUCCUACCGAUUGAAUGAUCCGAUGAAUAUCAUGGAUUGAGGAUUAUAGCAGGUUCGCCUGUCUUGAUCUUCGAGAAGUGAAGUAAAUCUUAUCAUUUAGAGGAAGGAGAAGUCGUAACA